This 340-nucleotide unclassified non-coding RNA is filed under the name uncultured Agaricomycetes. Its description in RNAcentral is "sequence contains ITS1". The stretch from base 1 to 71 matches the Rfam family "5.8S ribosomal RNA", at positions 84 to 154 of the family's 154-position model. The record is from RNAcentral. Lineage: Eukaryota; Fungi; Basidiomycota; Agaricomycetes.
GUGAAUCAUCGAAUCUUUGAACGCACCUUGCGCUCCUUGGUAUUCCGAGGAGCAUGCCUGUUUGAGUGUCAUUGAAACCUCAAACCUCAAAGCGUGCGUGCAUGCUCUGGGGCUUUGGAUGGUGAGGGUGUGCUGGUGGGUGUGUAUGCCGUGCUGGCUCCCUUGAAAAGUGUUAGCUAGGUCUCGCUGCUGGGGUGGCGUCGGUAUGAUAGCUCUGAUCUGUGCCGUCGUUGCCUGCCUUGGACCUGCUCCCAGUUGUCCCUCUGUCGAGGGGACUGCUCAUGGCUGAGCACUUUUGCAGCUUGACCUCAAAUCAGGUAGGACUACCCACUGAACUUAA